RNAcentral lists this ribosomal RNA (1506 nucleotides) under uncultured prokaryote. Its description in RNAcentral is "partial 16S ribosomal RNA". It matches the Rfam family "Bacterial small subunit ribosomal RNA". The record is from RNAcentral.
AGAGUUUGAUCCUGGCUCAGAACGAACGCUGGCGGCGCGUUUUAAGCAUGCAAGUCGAACGGUAAUACAGUGCUUGCACUGUAUGAGAGUGGCGGACGGGUGAGUAACACGUAGAUAAUCUGCCCUUGGAUUGGGGAUAGCAUAUGGAAACAUAUGGUAAUACCGAAUAAGCUCCUAACUGCAAAAGUAGAAUGGAGGAAAGGUGCUUAGGCACCGUCCGGGGAUGAGUCUGCGGCUCAUUAGCUAGUUGGUGGGGUAAAGGCCUACCAAGGCAACGAUGAGUAGCCGGCCUGAGAGGGUGGACGGCCACACUGGGACUGAGACACGGCCCAGACUCCUACGGGAGGCAGCAGCUAAGAAUCUUCCGCAAUGGGGGAAACCCUGACGGAGCGACGCCGCGUGAACGAAGAAGGCGGAAACGUUGUAAAGUUCUUUUCUUGGGGAGGAAUAAGCACAGCAGGUAAUGGUUGUGUGAUGACGUUAACCAAGGAAUAAGCCCCGGCUAAUUACGUGCCAGCAGCCGCGGUAACACGUAAGGGGCAAGCGUUGUUCGGAAUUAUUGGGCGUAAAGGGCGCGUAGGCGGUUUUACAAGUCUGGUGUGAAAUAUCUCAGCUCAACUGAGAAAACGCGCUGGAAACUGUAAGACUAGAAUCUAGGAGGGGAAGCUGGAAUUCCUGGUGUAGGGGUGAAAUCUGUAGAUAUCAGGAAGAACACCGGUGGCGAAGGCGAGCUUCUGGCCAUAGAUUGACGCUGAGGCGCGAAAGCGUGGGGAGCGAACAGGAUUAGAUACCCUGGUAGUCCACGCUGUAAACGAUGUGCACUAGGUGUUGGGCCUUAAGGCUCAGUGCCGUAGCUAACGCGUUAAGUGCACCGCCUGGGGGAGUAUGCCCGCAAGGGUGAAACUCAAAGGAAUUGACGGGGGCCCGCACAAGCGGUGGAGCAUGUGGUUUAAUUCGAUGAUACGCGAGGAACCUUACCAGGGCUUGACAUAUUUUUGACGUUCACAGAGAUGUGGAUUUCUCUUCGGAGACAAUUAUACAGGUGCUGCAUGGUUGUCGUCAGCUCGUGCUGUGAAGUGUUGGGUUAAGUCCCGCAACGAGCGCAACCCCUACUGUCUGUUGCCAUCAUUAAGUUGGGGACUCAGACGGUACUGCCGGUGACAAACCGGAGGAAGGUGGGGACGACGUCAAAUCAUCAUGGCCCUUAUGUCCUGGGCUACACACGUGCUACAAUGGCUGGUACAGAGCGACGCGAGACCGCGAGGUGGAGCAAAUCGCAGAAAGCCAGUCCCAGUACAGAUUGAAGUCUGAAACUCGACUUCAUGAAGGUGGAAUCGCUAGUAAUCGCGCAUCAGCAUGGCGCGGUGAAUACGUUCCCGGGCCUUGUACACACCGCCCGUCACACCACCCGAGUUGGGGGUACCCGAAGUCGCUAGUCUAACCAGUAAUGGAGGACGGCGCCGAAGGUAUGCCUGGUAAGGGGGGUGAAGUCGUAACAAGGUAACC